Long non-coding RNA from Microplitis demolitor, 9554 nucleotides. RefSeq annotates it as aarF domain-containing kinase 1. Lineage: Eukaryota; Metazoa; Arthropoda; Insecta; Hymenoptera; Braconidae. The transcript has 3 exons. The record is from RefSeq and is a predicted model, not a curated record.
AAUAUGUGUCACAUGUCAACUCGUGUUAGAGAGAAAAUCAGUAGUUCUAGUAUGCACAAAUCAAACAAGAAAGUCGCCAAUGAAUUAAUUGUAUGAGAAGUGGCGCAAUAAUUUAUUUGAAUAAUAAAUAAUUUAAACAAAUAAUAAAAGUGCCUUUUUAUAUUUUAUAAGUGAUAAAAUAAUUAAUUAUAUUUAAGAUAAAACCAUAAUUAUCUAUUUGAUAAAUUUAUAGGUUAUUAAUGUAUGUCAAUGAUUUAAAAAAGUUUACAUCACAUUAAAUUUUUGUCAACAAUAAGCUGAAUAAUAAAUAAAAAUUGAUUAUUGUCAUUAUUUAUUAAUGAUAAAUAAAUUUCGAAAUGUUAAAAUCAAGAAGAUUAAUAAAAUACGCAGUAAUAGGAGCAGCAAGUGUAGGAACUCUGGUAUCCUGGAGAGCAAAUGCGUAUGACAUUGGAUCAAUUGGUAUUGUACGUUUAAGUAGAGCUGCUGUAAAAGUAUUUAUCAUAGGAUCUCAUUACAAAAAAACACUUUACGAUAGUAAUUUAGAAAAAUCAUCACCAGAAUAUAUAAAAGCUAAGUCAGAAGCACAUAUAUUUGGAGCACAAAAACUCCUGGAACUUUGCUGUGCCAACAAAGGAGUUUAUAUUAAAAUAGGACAACAUAUAGGAGCUUUAGAUUAUUUAUUACCUACGGAAUAUGUUACGACAAUGCGAGUUUUACAUAGUUCAGCUCCUCAAUCUCCAUUUAGUGAUGUUAUAACAGUUCUCAAAGAAGAUUUUAAAAAAGAUCCGUAUGAAAUAUUUGAGUCAAUUGAACCAGAACCACUGGGAGCUGCCAGCUUAGCACAAGUGCAUAAAGCAACAUUAAAAGAUGGUAGAGUCGUUGCUGUUAAAGUUCAACAUCGUGCUGUUAAAUCCAAUUCUUAUGUUGAUAUCAGGACAAUGGCUGCGUUAGUUAAAAUAACAUCAUGGAUAUUUCCCGAGUUUAAAUUUGAUUGGCUUGUUGAUGAGACUAAGAAAAACAUACCACGUGAAUUGAAUUUUACAUGGGAAGGUAAAAAUGCUGAGCGAUUAAGAAAUUUAUUUUCACAUUACAAAUGGUUAAAAGUACCUGAAGUUCAUUGGGAUUUAUCGUCAUCACGUGUACUAACGAUGGAGUUUGUCAAAGGAGGGCAAAUAAAUGAUUUGAAAUAUAUACGCGAUAAUAAUAUUAAUCCAUAUGAAGUCAGUAGUAAAUUGGGUCGCUUAUAUAGUCACAUGAUAUUCAUAACGGGCUUUGUACAUUCAGAUCCACAUCCUGGUAAUAUUCUUGUUAGAAAAACUGAUAAAAAUGAGGCUGAACUGAUAGUACUUGAUCAUGGUUUGUAUGCAGAAUUGAAAGAUGAAUUUAGAUGGGCAUAUUCAAAACUAUGGCUUGCAAUACUUGAUCGUGAUAAAGAUGCUAUGAAAAAAUAUUGUGGGCAACUUGGUGUUGAAGAUAUGUAUGGUCUGCUAGCCUGUAUGGUAUCAGGUAGAACUUGGGAUGCUGUUAUGGCUGGUAUUGAAAGAACAAAAUAUAGUUCCGAUGAAAAAGUACAAUUUCAAACAGAAGUACCUAAUUUAUUGCCACAAAUAAGUGAAAUAUUAGAAAGAGUUGAUCGACAAAUGUUACUUGUACUUAAAACAAAUGACUUAGUACGAAGUAUUGAACAUACAUUAAAAACAUCAUCAAGAAUGUCCGCAUUUAUGGAAAUGUCUAGGUGCUGUAUAUGUUCACUUUACGAUGAACGUUUAAAAAACAGUACUACUAAGUGGUCUCAGUGGAGUAUAUCAAUUGCAAAACAAUUUGCAUUAUGUAAAUUAUCUAUUUAUUAUACGUAUUUGGGAAUGGUUAAUUUUGAUUUGCUAAAAAGUGUUGAGUCUUUGUGGACUCAUGACUUUUAUCCAUUUUAAUGAAUGAAUGUUUUCGAUAAAAAAAAUUUUUUUAUUUAUUUUUAGAGAAUUUUAUUUUAUUAAAAGUAUCAUUCAUCUUUUUUAAGAAUGGAAUAAUUUAAUUUAGUCUAAUGUGCUGACAUAAAAUUUAUUUAUAAUUAAAAUUUUUUGCGAUUACAAUUGUAAAUAAUAACAAUCAUUAUUGGUACAAGAUGGCCUACUUAUCGCUAAUAAAAUGUCUACAGUUUUAUUAAUUGUAAGUAAAAAUAUGUAGGCUUAUACAUAUGCUAAUAUCCCAAAAAGAUGUCACUGAUUGUACGCAGGAAUCUACGUCAUACUUACGCUAAAACAAAGAUAUAUUACAGAUACUUUACCAGGAAAUGCUAAUAAUAAUAUUUAUAGAUGAAUGAGUAAUGAAAUAAACGAAUCUGUAAGAUAUGUGUCAUAAAUACAGUCCUAUAUAAGAUAAAUAUAUUUUUUUGUUUUUAUUUAUUUAAGUUUUACAUGUAAAGUCCUGAUUUUUAUUUUGUAUACUGCGUAAUAAAUAACAUUUUUAAAAUAAAGCUUGUAUAAAAAUAUUUUUAAUAAAUUGUUGUAUUUGAUAAAUUAUAAAUAUGAUUGUUAUUUAUUAUUUUAACUAUCAUUAUAAAUUUUAUAUUUUUUUACAUGCAAACUUGAGAAAGUAUAUGAGAUAUAACAUAGAAAGUAAACAUAUUUUACGUGACGUGUCUAAAUUACUAUAUAGUAGGGAUGCCAUGAAUAGAAACAAGAAAUAAAAUGAACGUUGGCUCUUGGCACCGAGAAUCACAAUAAAGGAACAGAAAGAUAUGUUAUGUAGGUAUAUACCUGGAUGUACUUUGUAAUGUUAAAUGUUCAUACGCAUAUUAUAAUAGCAUAAUAUAGAGUUCUCGGAUAGAUUUCAAACAACUAACAAAAGAAUAUUUUUAUUGUAUAAUAUACAAUACAAAAAGGGUAAAACCGACCGUUAUAGAGUAAAUUCAGGUUCACAUCAGUUGCCAAAUGUAAAUGGGUGUGGCAAACCGACAAAGUCGCUGCAAUCGAGAAUAUCUAAUUCUCGAUUUAUAUCUACAUACAUUUCUAGACUUAAUAAUAAUUAUAAUAAAACUUGUACGUCAUAUAAUCAAUAUAAUAUAAAAUUCAGGCUGACAUUUCAAGGUUGAAUAGCUACGACGUAUAUUUAAAUAAAAGUUUUAUAAUUUUCAAUACCAGUUUAUGCGUACUAAAUCUGUAUGAAACAUAUGUUUUCAAUCUACUUGCUGGAAUUUUUGUUACGUCCAUAUGACUACGUCAUUGAAUUUUUUUUUACGCAUUACUCUUUUGAUAUUUAAUUUUCUUUUUGUAUUAUUUAUAAUUUAGUAACAAAUAUUUUCAUUGCAGUUUAUCAUCAUUUCUUUUCUUUUCGACUAAGAAUUUAGUUAUAUGACAAAAAAGGAAGUAUUAUCCUUAUACAUAUUGUUUAAUUAGUUUCAAUCAGGUCACUAGUUGAUAAUUUAAAAUGUUUAUUUAUUUUUUACAUUAAAUAGACUAUAAAAGAAAGGUUUAAAUAACGAAAUCUUUUUAAACUAUAUAAAUAAUAAUAGAAAUCUCUCAGAAAAAAAAUAAUAUUAUAAAGCAUGUUUAGGAAAAUUUUGUAAAUAACGAAUUUCUGUAAUAAAAUUAAAAAAUAAUAAUAAUAAUUUCAUCUUUUUUGGUCAUUACUACAAAACGUUAGUAAAACGUAAAAAAUAUCGAUGGCACUGUAGAAAAGUCUGGCAACGUCGAGAACAGCUGCAGGGAGAUGGUACGAUUCUUUAACAAAAGACGCAUUACGUGUGGAGAGGGUAAACCGUGUUGCAACUUAUAUUUUAAUAUAUACCUAUAAAAAUAUCUUGUUAUUAAUAAUAAAUUUCAUUAUUUUUUAAUAUUUUUUUUUAUAAUUAUUAUUUAUAAAUCAUUUAAAAUUAAAUUGUUGUAUUUUAAAUAAAUAAUAACUAUUGUUAAUUGUGUUAUUUGAGUAACAAAAGGGACUAUUUUCUAUUGAUCGGGCGUAAGAAUACAUAUUCGGGCGUCUGCAUCACCAGGUCAGGGUAUAUUAACCCCACUCUAAACACGGGAACGUCAUUCCAACGUCGUUAUUCGAACAGUGAAGACCGUACCUCGCUCGGUGGUUAUUUAUUAAUUUAAAUAACCGUUUCAUCGAUAUAAGGAGGAACCAAGCGUGUCCUUCACAUCGAGGAAUACGAGCUGGCUACAGUCUUACCGUUUGAGAUGACAUUGGAAUGGGCGGAGGGAGUCGCAGAUUCUGGUGACCCAUAAGGAACCAAAGGAAGCGAAACUCCACGCCAAAGGGGCGACAAGCCAAUCAUCCGUUUGGUUUGUAGAUAGUAUCGAAACAAACAUCUUUCUAUAAUUUUUUUUUUUUUGUAAUUAAUUAAACAGUUAAUUUAUUGUAAAUAUAAUUUUUCAGAUCUCAUUUAGAUUAAACUUUUCAUUAGUAAUGAAUUUAGAAUUUUAUUUUAAUAAUUGAACUGAAAUCUGACGCAUAUACUAAUAAUGUAUAAGAACUUAAUGAUAGAUAUUUUUUUUAUUGUAAUGAAAGUUGGGUGUCCAAGUAAUUUUUUUCAUCUUACUACUUUAGAAGAAUUUUGUAAAAUAGAUACGUAACGUAUUGUUCUUUUUUUUUUAUAUUUAUAUAUUUAUAAUCUGAAGAACACAACAUACAAAAUAACGUAAAGUAUUUUUCAUAUAUGAAUAAAUUUUAUAAUUAAAAAAAACGAACAAACAAUGAAGUUGAACAAAUGAUUUAUUGAUGCAUGCUUAUUUUUCAUUAACUAUUAAUUCCAUAAAUCCUUUUCAGUAAAUGGCACUCAUCCUCAAAUUGUUAUUGCAUAUGAAAAGAUACAAUGGUCACAAAAAAGUUCCGGGCACUUGCUGAUCAUCUCUCUCGGUAAUAUCUACACUAAAUGAAAACAAUAAGAUAAAGAAUAAGAUGAUCGGGUGAGGUUUUUAUUUGCGCAUGAUGAUUGAUAGUAAGGGAAAAAACAAAAUAGGGGGGAGAAAAGUUAUGUGUUUUUAGAAGGCAACUGAGUAACGCAGCCCGCAUGAACUACACCUAUCACUCUUCGCACCCUCACUUGCUUCUCCAAUUCCAACGGUUCGUUCGCGAGAAUCAGCACGUACGCCGUUACAACAAUGAGAUCCGGAUAAUAAUUGAGGUGGUGAGCUUUUUUAUAAUGUAACAAAAAAUCCCCGAUAAAAGUAUUUUCUCAGGUUUUGGAAAAGCCAGGCGAAGUUUAGAUUUCCUAGAAAAAAAAUAAAUGGUUAAAACCAACUUCGGGUCGUCGUACUUCUGUGAUGGGGUCACUCUCACGAAAAAAGGCCGUCACUACAUCCGAUGGUAUUAAGCACAUGCAAAUAAUAAUAUAGAAAGUAUACAGGUACUUGAUAAUUAUGUGCAUGAUCUGUUAGAAAAUCAAUUUCUAAUUAGAUGACAUUUUUUGAUAUCAAAACAAAAUAAUACUGCGUAUUUAUAGUAAAGAUAAUUUGCCAAAAUGAGCAUUCGUAUAGCUCGGCAAUCGAAUAACCCAUGUUUUCACAGAUAUUGAAGCACUUUGAUUGUACAUAAUCCAGGAUGAACAGGUGUAGCAAAAAUACCAGAUCGCGAGAACUGGUUCUAGAUAUGAAGAAACGAGCGUGGGAAGCAAAUAACGGCAAAAUCGGAGACGUUGGAGUUAAUGAAAUGAAAGUUGAUGAAAUUUAAAUAGAGGUACCGCCGUAAAUGAUUACAAAUAUAAUAAUUUUUAUUAUUUAAUAAUAUCGUAAUAGUAAACUACUUUGAUUUGUAAAAACUAUUGUUGGGUUGGGGAUAUGGGGUGUAUAAGAAAUAGUCAUUUUCGCUUCAGAGUCAUAAGAUAGAUGCCCGACAACCAAUUUUCACAUUCAAGUCCUCCGUUGAAGAUGGAAACUUUGGGAAACGAGAUAAGUGUUUAUGUAAGAUCCAAGAUCUAAAUUAUUUUUCUUUCUACUAUGGGUUGGGCGGGGGAAACGAAAGUAUGAUUUUAAGUCGCAGGAAACCCUACUGGAACGCGUACACGAAAGAGCAGAGAAAGUAAGCGUGUGAAAAGGAGAAAGCCAAUUUUACGAGUUUUAUCAGAAAAAUACCACAUUACAUCUGGAUUCAGGUAUCAUUCAUUCAUCAUUCGUACAAAUCUCGCGUUUUUUUUUUUUUACUGUGCAGAUAAGGACGAGUUUAUCCGAGUAACCAGAGAGUAUCGAGCCGAAAAACCUUAGAUCAAAACACGUGAGAAAUUUAAGAUCUUUAAUAUUAACAUAUAAACGCUAUAUUUGUUUUAAAAAAACACCCGUAAUCUAAAAUAAUAGCAGAAAGAUAGGACAACAUUAAUCUUUUAAGCUUCAGAAGUACCUGAUACAAUGAAUGAAAGAAAUAACUGGUAUUAAAUACUUAAUGGAUUUAGAAGAUCAUUACGGUAAAUCAAGAGUUUAGAGGUAAAAAGUAUUAUCUUAUCUUUGGAUCUUGUCUUCUCCUUAACUUAAUUUUUUUUCUCACUCUCUUUUUAUCACUGUUCGCGUUAUGAUAAUUUUGUUUGUGAGGGAGGUAGCGAUUUUGUUUUAUAGCACAAGAAACGUAUUACAAUCAGAUAAGUUUAACUUAAAUAAAAAAACAAAGAUAACCAAGAUAUACAAAUGGAAUAUUUAUGAAACAUGACAAAUACAAUUAGAAGAAUUAAAUUAACGAUAAUAAUUUUUUUUACGAAAAAAAAAGAAGAAAUUGAAUUGAAGUCAAGAAAAAUAUUGAUUUAUAUAGGAAAUUAAGAGAGUUGAAAAUCAGAAAAUUAGGUCGAUAAUAUGAAAUAUAUAAAUGAAAAGAUAAAAACGAUCCCUUUGGAAACUGACCGCAACAACAAUUCCAGGUAAUUAGUGAAACAAUUAACGAGUAUUUUAUUUAACUACAUAAAUUUCGUAUAACAAAUUUUUUUUUAGACAUGAAAAUUUUAAUCAGUAAAAACAAAAAAAAAUUACUUAAUAUGCCUUGGCCGAAUGGCUUUUGCAAAAUAUUCACAAGAAAAGAGUGAAGUUUAAAUAAUCUAAAAAUUUCUUUUAGCAAAAACAGGCUUUUAUGAAAUGAGAGUUAAUUAAUUUCAAUACUUAGUACCGAGAAUGGAUUUUGCACUUAAAACUAGUAUAAAUAUGCAUCCCUUCAUAUAAAAAUUUGAUUCAUCUACCAAAAGAAACAACUUUUUUAUUCAGUGAAUUACUUCUCCUACCAUAACUACUACUUCUGUUAACGUUCUUGUGAAUUGUUAUUGAAAGAACAAGAGUUAAUUUUAACGUGUAUUUAAAUCGUUUUGAUCAUUUUUUUUGUGAAGUUUAGUUUGUUGAUAUUACCAAAUGUUAUUUAUAUUAUGUUUUAAAGUUUUGUGAGCAAGUUCAUUAAUUUAUUUUUGUUAACUCUUAUAUAUUUAUAAUAAUUUGUUUUUACUGUAUACACCAGUAGCGCAUAUAACUGAUUUGAAUAGUUGUGUAGUGCGGUCACUUUUAAUUACGUGCAAGUUUUUAAUAAUUUGAUUAUAAAGUUUAUAAUUGUUAUUAUAUAUAAUCAUCACACUAUGUAAUAUUGCUGCAAUGCUAAUAUCUGCUGGUAAUGAGCCUAUAUUUAUUAUUAUGUGUUAUGCGAAUGUCUGUAAACACAUCUAGGGUGAAUUGUUUAUAAUGCUGUAAAAAUAAUUUUGUCCUUACUCACUUAAUCCAAAAAUUAAUGGACAAUUUUUUCACAUUGCUCGUAUUGUGUCUGGAUAAAAAAAAUAAUUAUAUGAAAAUAAUUAUUUUCAUUGUUGAAUGUUAAACAAAUAUUAUAUGGUGUAAUAUUAGAAACGUGGCUUUAUCUAUAUUUGUUGCUAGAACUAUCGGUGAGUUAUUUAUAAUCAUUUAUAAUUAGAGUUGUGAUUUUUAUUAUUAAUAUUUUUUUUUAUAUCAGUAUUUUCUUAAUUAACGUUUACGUAGAUUCCGCAGUUAACACAUUGUUUCUUUGUAUAAUAUUGUUCACACAAAAAAAAACAAAUUAAUGCAUUGUUCUGCUGGAUAUUGUAAAUGUUAGGUACUCAAUACUGAAUAAGUAUUUUUGUACCCGCGACACGCUUUUAUAAUAAUAAAUUGAUAUUUUAUUGAGGGGUUUGGGGCUGGGGGACUACUAAUUAUUUUGCGAAUUCCAAAGUAUUUUCAGAACCAUACUCACCUAAGUGAUUAAUAUAUUGGAUACAUUAUUAUUAUUACUACUAUUAUUUUGUAAUGGCAUUACUACUUAUACGUUGAAAAAAAACGCAGCAAUUAUUGUCAUCUAUAUCUAUAAAUUGUCUCCAUAUUACGCAGAGCACAGCAUUGGAUUACGCUAAUAUAACGUUUUUUGGGCCACCUACUAUAUUGAUAUCUAUCUAUAAUUACUUACUAUAUCUAGGCAUGCAAAUUGGCUGUUGCUCUUUUUUUUGUAUUACUUAAAUAUUUGUAAUUAAAUACGCCUAUCACGAUAAAUCAUUCGUCCGCUUGGAGAAGAUUGGCACUGCAUAUAAUAAAUGAUGAGUAUUAGGCAUUUUAAUGUAUUUAAUAUAAUUUCAAGAGUUGGUUAUUAACUGAAUUGAAUUGAAUUAAACAAAACAAAACAAAAAAAAAACGAAAGAAACAAAGAAAAAACAGGUACGCACUUUAGAUAAUUCAUUUGAUAUAUUUUUUUCAUUAUAUUGCACAAUGGAUAUGCUAGCAAAUGUGGUGCAUCAUAAAGCAAAUUGGUUUGGCUAUUAAAUUAGGAUAGGAUAAGAGGAUAAUAUAUUAUUACUAUAAUUAACAAGAAAACAACUAUUGAAGAUGAGUGACUAUACUAAGCGAUACAUUUCCAUAACAUAACGAAGAUUAAUAUUUACUAUUGAAGAGUAUAUUAGAAAUUCUGAAUUUAAUAAUUUCUGUAGAAGAUUAUGUUUAUCACUACUUUUAUUAUUAUUGCAUUUAAAAAACUAUGUGUGUUAGUAUGGUAUAAUGCUAAUGAACAAACGUGAGUUAAAUGAAUCCCUUUUUAUCCUAUUAGUUUUCCCGCUAACUAAGUGUUUUUAGAAAACUACUUGGAGAAUGACUCGUAAGACAGUUUGGGACUUGGGGAUGUUGAUGCUUGGAAUGAUGCCUAGAUCUAGCUGCGGGGUUCCAUGCUGGUGUACCACUUCCUCCCAAAUGCAACAGAGGGUUUGGUCGCGAGCUUGCACAGCUGGGUGGUCGUUCAUUCUUCUUCCGGUCCCGAUGGCCUCCAGAGUUCAGCCAUCGUCUUUGGCGGGGCAUGGCGUCCACACCCGAGUAUCAUCGUCCGCUGUGGUCUGACUCCUAGCAGCCGAUCUUCCGGAACUGCGGAGUGAUGACAACACGGGACACGCUCGUGUGAGGGUCCUUGGCGAUUGGAGACUCUUCUGGCGGCGGGACACGCGUUACCUGGGGCUUAUUUCCGCACACCCGAGCACACCUGAGCACACUGAUCCGGUCGAGGCGGUUGUGACGGUAUUCCGGUUGGCAAAGGGGUUGAGGCUUUUUCUUAGAGCAGGAAUCUGACGGAGGCAUCCAGAUGAAUGCAGAGUUCCAGCCAAAACGCAUCUU